AAUUAUUUGUUUAACACGUUGAAAACACGACAUUCCGUCCGAUCUGUCAAGUUAAAAUUAAGCAACGUUGGGCUUAGUUAGUAUAGGAUCGGAGAUGGCCUAGGAAUUCCAUGUGCUGUAAGUU
Molecule: ribosomal RNA, 124 nt
Filed under: Dracunculus medinensis (Guinea worm)
Lineage: Eukaryota; Metazoa; Nematoda; Chromadorea; Rhabditida; Dracunculidae
Source: RNAcentral